This 300-nucleotide unclassified non-coding RNA is filed under the name Yarrowia lipolytica. Lineage: Eukaryota; Fungi; Ascomycota; Dipodascomycetes; Dipodascales. The record is from RNAcentral.
GCAGGCACGCAAGCUGUCAAACGACAGACGCGUGAGCACCGCAGACUGUUAGAUUGUCAUAUCGGCAUUCGGAUGCAAAAAGGAAAAAGCUAAAGGGAAAAAACCGGGACAGAGUUGCACAGGGAAUCAGGGGAGCAAAAGAAAGUUGCAAGAGAGAGCGAGAGAGAGGUAAGGAAGAGAGGGAAACAAACAAUAGACGGAGAACUGCGGGGUAUAGGCCUCUAGAGGGUACUGAACCGGGUUUUGGAACCAUGCUAACCACUUACAUCAGUAAUUAAUAUCAGUCCACUUUGCAUGCAC